GAGUUUGAUCCUGGCUCAGGACGAACGCUGGCGGCGUGCUUAACACAUGCAAGUCGAACGAUGAUGCCCAGCUUGCUGGGUGGAUUAGUGGCGAACGGGUGAGUAACACGUGAGUAACCUGCCCCUGACUCUGGGAUAAGCGUUGGAAACGACGUCUAAUACUGGAUAGGACUGCCGGCCGCAUGGUCUGGUGGUGGAAAGAUUUUUUGGUUGGGGAUGGACUCGCGGCCUAUCAGCUUGUUGGUGAGGUAAUGGCUCACCAAGGCGACGACGGGUAGCCGGCCUGAGAGGGUGACCGGCCACACUGGGACUGAGACACGGCCCAGACUCCUACGGGAGGCAGCAGUGGGGAAUAUUGCACAAUGGGCGAAAGCCUGAUGCAGCAACGCCGCGUGAGGGAUGACGGCCUCGGUGUAACUC
This 420-nucleotide ribosomal RNA is filed under the name uncultured Actinomycetes bacterium. Its description in RNAcentral is "bacterial SSU rRNA". It matches the Rfam family "Bacterial small subunit ribosomal RNA", at positions 9 to 431 of the family's 1533-position model. The record is from RNAcentral. Lineage: Bacteria; Bacillati; Actinomycetota; Actinomycetes.